This 489-nucleotide ribosomal RNA is filed under the name uncultured bacterium. Its description in RNAcentral is "bacterial SSU rRNA". It matches the Rfam family "Bacterial small subunit ribosomal RNA", at positions 28 to 507 of the family's 1533-position model. The record is from RNAcentral.
GAUGAACGCUAGCUACAGGCUUAACACAUGCAAGUCGAGGGGCAGCGCAGUGUAGCAAUACAUGGGCGGCGACCGGCGCACGGGUGCGUAACGCGUAUCCAACCUUCCCGUUACUCUUGGAUAGCCUUCCGAAAGGGGAGAUUAAUACAGGAUGGUGUUCAAAUUCCGCAUGUUAUUUGAACUAAAGAUUUAUCGGUAACGGAUGGGGAUGCGUGACAUUAGAUAGUAGGCGGGGUAACGGCCCACCUAGUCUACGAUGUCUAGGGGGUUCUGAGAGGAAGGUCCCCCCACACUGGAACUGAGACACGGUCCAGACUCCUACGGGAGGCAGCAGUGAGGAAUAUUGGUCAAUGGUCGGAAGACUGAACCAGCCAAGUAGCGUGAAGGAUGAAGGCUCUAUGGAUUGUAAACUUCUUUUAUACGGGAAUAAAACGCCUUACGUGUAGGGUCUUGUAUGUACCGUAUGAAUAAGCAUCGGCUAACUCCGUG